This 792-nucleotide ribosomal RNA is filed under the name Aureobasidium pullulans. RNAcentral's name for it is "eukaryotic LSU rRNA". The stretch from base 197 to 792 matches the Rfam family "Eukaryotic large subunit ribosomal RNA", at positions 1 to 605 of the family's 3401-position model. The record is from RNAcentral. Lineage: Eukaryota; Fungi; Ascomycota; Dothideomycetes; Dothideales; Saccotheciaceae.
CUUGGUAUUCCGAGGGGCAUGCCUGUUCGAGCGUCAUUACACCACUCAAGCUAUGCUUGGUAUUGGGUGCCGUCCUUAGUUGGGCGCGCCUUAAAGACCUCGGCGAGGCCUCACCGGCUUUAGGCGUAGUAGAAUUUAUUCGAACGUCUGUCAAAGGAGAGGACUUCUGCCGACUGAAACCUUUAUUUUUCUAGGUUGACCUCGGAUCAGGUAGGGAUACCCGCUGAACUUAAGCAUAUCAAUAAGCGGAGGAAAAGAAACCAACAGGGAUUGCCCUAGUAACGGCGAGUGAAGCGGCAACAGCUCAAAUUUGAAAGCUGGCCUUCGGGUCCGCAUUGUAAUUUGUAGAGGAUGCUUUGGGUGAAACGCCAGUCUAAGUUCCUUGGAACAGGACGUCAUAGAGGGUGAGAAUCCCGUAUGUGACUGGAAAUGUUAACCUAUGUAAAGCUCCUUCGACGAGUCGAGUUGUUUGGGAAUGCAGCUCUAAAUGGGAGGUAAAUUUCUUCUAAAGCUAAAUAUUGGCGAGAGACCGAUAGCGCACAAGUAGAGUGAUCGAAAGAUGAAAAGCACUUUGGAAAGAGAGUUAAAAAGCACGUGAAAUUGUUGAAAGGGAAGCGCUUGCAAUCAGACUUGUUUAAACUGUUCGGCCGGUCUUCUGACCGGUUUACUCAGUUUGGACAGGCCAGCAUCAGUUUCGGCGGCCGGAUAAAGGCUCUGGGAAUGUGGCCUUCACUUCGGUGAAGGUGUUAUAGCCCAGGGUGUAAUACGGCCAGCCGGGACUGAGGUCCGCGC